GGUUCUAUAGUGUAAUGGUUAGCACCCCAGACUUUGAAUCUUGUAUUCCGGGUUCGAAUCCCGGUAGAACCU
Non-coding RNA from Aphanomyces astaci, 72 nucleotides. NCBI's taxonomy places the organism in Eukaryota, Oomycota, Saprolegniomycetes, Saprolegniales, Verrucalvaceae. The record is from Rfam.